GGGGUCGUUACGGAAUCGACUGGUAUUGUUCGAGCUAGUAUGGCGCUUAGGGGUUGUGUCCCUAUAAUCCACUCAGAUGAAUUAACUGCAAAAAAUUCAAAUAACUACGCUGUCGCUGCCUAAAAACCAGCACACGUGAUCAUCUUUAAUUGUGAUUGCCGAUUAUUUGAUGGUUUAAUAAAUUAGUAAUCUGCGCCAGUUGCUCUCCGCUUGGGGGUGACUGGAAGAGGAUAAUCAAGCUAGCAGUUUGAUCGCCUUGUGUUACGGCGUGCAGCCUGUGAAUUUUAAAUGGUAAUACUAUGAGCGUAGAUGUAUUAGUGGCGAGAUAGUAGGACAGGGGUUCAACUCCCCUCGGCUCCAUCU
This 363-nucleotide transfer-messenger RNA is filed under the name Weissella minor. Its description in RNAcentral is "Standard tmRNA". It matches the Rfam family "transfer-messenger RNA". Rfam says of the family: Bacterial tmRNA, also known as 10Sa RNA or SsrA, is named for its dual tRNA and mRNA-like properties. Its role is to liberate the mRNA from a stalled ribosome. The record is from RNAcentral. Lineage: Bacteria; Bacillati; Bacillota; Bacilli; Lactobacillales; Lactobacillaceae.